UGGGGAAUUUUGGACAAUGGGCGCAAGCCUGAUCCAGCCAUGCCGCGUGGGUGAAGAAGGCCUUCGGGUUGUAAAGCCCUUUCGGCCGGGAAGAAAGCGUGCGGGCGAACAGUCUGCAUGGAUGACGGUACCGGAAGAAGAAGCACCGGCUAACUACGUGCCAGCAGCCGCGGUAAUACGUAGGGUGCGAGCGUUAAUCGGAAUUAUUGGGCGUAAAGCGUGCGCAGGCGGCGCCAUAAGACAGCUGUGA
RNAcentral lists this ribosomal RNA (250 nucleotides) under uncultured bacterium. RNAcentral's name for it is "partial 16S ribosomal RNA". It matches the Rfam family "Bacterial small subunit ribosomal RNA", at positions 355 to 597 of the family's 1533-position model. The record is from RNAcentral.